GGGGUUGUGGCUCAGUGGCAGAGCGCUUGCCUAGCAUGUGUGAGGCACUGGGUUCAAUCCCCAGCACCACA
Molecule: transfer RNA, 71 nt
Filed under: Marmota monax (woodchuck)
Lineage: Eukaryota; Metazoa; Chordata; Mammalia; Rodentia; Sciuridae
Description: tRNA.Ala
Rfam family: tRNA
About the family: Transfer RNA (tRNA) molecules are approximately 80 nucleotides in length. Their secondary structure includes four short double-helical elements and three loops (D, anti-codon, and T loops).
Source: RNAcentral